RNAcentral lists this unclassified non-coding RNA (289 nucleotides) under Bombus terrestris (buff-tailed bumblebee). Its description in RNAcentral is "misc RNA ENSBTSG00005034602.1". The record is from RNAcentral. Lineage: Eukaryota; Metazoa; Arthropoda; Insecta; Hymenoptera; Apidae.
AAGAUUGAAGAAAUGAGUGCAAUCCCUUUUACGGGUAGUUCCUUAAUUGCUUUAUUACUUAUUUGAUCAUGUCCCGGUGCUUUCCUGGGGUUCAGACGAUGGAUUAAUUCAGUAACCUCUAGAGGAGUGAAAGGUUUAAUGGGGAGAGACAUUUGGAAGGGAGAAUGCAGUAUUGGAGGAACGAGGUUUAAAAACGUUGGAUAGGUAGUUGGCGAACAGGUUGGCUUUUUCUAUAGGGCUUCGUGCCCAUCCGCCUUGCGGACAGUGAAUUGGUGGGAUUAUUUGCGGG